This 855-nucleotide ribosomal RNA is filed under the name Triticum aestivum (bread wheat). RNAcentral describes it as "partial small subunit ribosomal RNA". Lineage: Eukaryota; Viridiplantae; Streptophyta; Magnoliopsida; Poales; Poaceae. The record is from RNAcentral.
AUGGAGACCCUUCGGGCGGAACUUGCCCGAGCCAAGGAACAAGCCAGGAGGAGUGAUGCGGCCGCCCUGAAGGCGGCCGAAGAGUUAAAAGCUGAACGGGCUGCUCAUCGCCAUAGCGAAGAAAAAGUAGCCAAGAUGGCUGUUGAGUUGAAAGAUGCCGUCGAACAAUAUGAGCUCCUUGAAAAGGAAAACCAAGCGAAAGCGGCUGACCUGAAGAAGGCCUUGGAAGCAGCCAAGGAAACUCGCUCUGAGAUCAGAGCGGCAAAGGAGGAGCUGCGUCAAGCCGGAGAUAUCACGUCUGGGAAGCCCUUUCUGUUGCGGACGAAGUUAGGAGAUCUGAAUUAUGCCCCUCUGGAUCAAUUAUGGAGUGCUGAGGACGCGUAUUUGGACUUGGCAAAAAGUGCUGCUGAUGCGACUGAAUAUUUCAAGGAUCAGAAAGAUCAUGAGGUGGAAAGGUUGUUCUGGUCACAGUUCAGUGCUCCAAAGCGUCCGCCGCUGUUAAAUGAACAAAUGGCCGAGUGGGCCGAGCUCCAUAGGUUGUCCGAACUUGCCAUGAGGACUGUCGUGGAUCACCUUUGGCCGAAGGGACCAAGGCCGGACAAUUAUUUUGGUUUAGUGCAACGAUUCCUUGGUGUUGUGUCGCAUAUCGAUGCUGUAAAGAGGCCGGUGUGCAUAGAGGGUGCGCGGAUGGCUCUUGCCCGUGUUAAAACAUAUUGGGCAGGGAUGGAGGCCACCGCUAUUGCAAUCCGGGGUCCGGUGGGAGGCCAGGACCCGGCCAAGCACUAUUCUGAAGAAGUCCUAGAAGACGCCCAUUUAAUAGAGGCUCAGUGCUCAAAGAACACCAUGUUCGAGUGA